GUGGGGAAUAUUGGACAAUGGGCGAAAGCCUGAUCCAGCCAUGCCGCGUGUGUGAAGAAGGUCUUCGGAUUGUAAAGCACUUUAAGUUGGGAGGAAGGGCAUUAACCUAAUACGUUAGUGUUUUGACGUUACCAACAGAAUAAGCACCGGCUAACUUCGUGCCAGCAGCCGCGGUAAUACGAAGGGUGCAAGCGUUAAUCGGAAUUACUGGGCGUAAAGCGCGCGUAGGUGGUUCAGCAAGUUGGAGGUGAAAUCCCCGGGCUCAACCUGGGAACUGCCUCCAAAACUACUGAGCUAGAGUACGGUAGAGGGUAGUGGAAUUUCCUGUGUAGCGGUGAAAUGCGUAGAUAUAGGAAGGAACACCAGUGGCGAAGGCGACUACCUGGACUGAUACUGACACUGAGGUGCGAAAGCGUGGGGAGCAAACAGGAUUAGAAACCCGUGUAGUCC
Molecule: ribosomal RNA, 450 nt
Filed under: uncultured bacterium
Lineage: Bacteria
Description: partial 16S ribosomal RNA
Rfam family: Bacterial small subunit ribosomal RNA
Source: RNAcentral